GGGACUAGAGCAUGAGGAGGCUGGCUAUGAAGUAGAGCAGCGAGGAGGCGGGUGGCAGGCGGCGGCCGGUUUGUUCGUAUCUGCACACAGGGGAAGAUGUAAAGGAUAAGGUGGGUUAGAAGCGAUAUUUCGCGGGGGUGUCUGUGCUGGCGAGCCGACGUGUCGUGCCACGUCCAUGAUUUUGAUAAAAAUAAAAGAAAUCUUCUCUCUCCAA
Molecule: long non-coding RNA, 214 nt
Filed under: Panicum hallii
Lineage: Eukaryota; Viridiplantae; Streptophyta; Magnoliopsida; Poales; Poaceae
Description: long non-coding RNA (PHAL_LNC000472)
Source: RNAcentral